AUACUUAUCUGGCAUGGGAGAUACCAUGACCACGAAGGUGGUUUUCCCAGGGCGAGGCUUAUCCAUUGCACUCCUGCUAACCCCUGCGGAUUUCCCCAAAUGUGGGAAACUCAACUGCAUAAUUUGUGGCAGUGGGGGACUGCAGUCACACUCUCCCCUG
Molecule: small nuclear RNA, 160 nt
Organism: Erinaceus europaeus (western European hedgehog)
Lineage: Eukaryota; Metazoa; Chordata; Mammalia; Eulipotyphla; Erinaceidae
Gene: U1
Rfam family: U1 spliceosomal RNA
About the family: U1 is a small nuclear RNA (snRNA) component of the spliceosome (involved in pre-mRNA splicing). Its 5' end forms complementary base pairs with the 5' splice junction, thus defining the 5' donor site of an intron.
Source: Ensembl